Molecule: long non-coding RNA, 544 nt
Organism: Sapajus apella (tufted capuchin)
Lineage: Eukaryota; Metazoa; Chordata; Mammalia; Primates; Cebidae
Exons: 3
Source: RefSeq, a predicted model, not a curated record
AGGCUGUGAGGGAUGGUCCACCCAAGAGAAGCCUCAACAGUUUCCCCAAAUAAUUUCUGCAGGCUGGGACACCUGAGUGAAAUGAAGAAAUGGGAUUCAGCAGAGAGAAAUGUUAAGUCUGCCAGCUGGGGAAUGGAAUGAAAGAACAAACAGGAAAAUCUUAACCUGUACAGCCUCUUGGAUGAUGGGGUGGGAAGUAAGGACCUGCCCCCCAGUUUCCUGUUGCCUGGAAAAAUCUGGAAGAGCUCCUAGGGCUUUGGAGAAUGAAGGCACCCUUGUCUGGAUGCCACCGCAGCUUCCUCCCUCUCACCCCUUCCUCCUCCACCUCCUCCUCCUCAUCUUCAGCCCAGCAAGGCCAGAUUUGUCUUGCAAAGUGGCAUCAUUAUAAACGCAUCAGCCUCCUCUGGACGCCUGAGCCUGCUACCUAGCCAGCCCAUCCAGGCUCCAUUACAUCUGAGGCUGUCUGGGUCUCCUUUGCUUUUAGGUUGGUCACAUGACUCACUCCAGCAAAUGGGAUGUGAGCAGAAGGUAUAUAUGUUACCUG